UGGCUCAUCGGUUAAGAGCACUGGCUGCUGUUCCAGAGGACCUGGGUUCAAUUCCCAG
Molecule: non-coding RNA, 58 nt
Organism: Mesocricetus auratus (golden hamster)
Lineage: Eukaryota; Metazoa; Chordata; Mammalia; Rodentia; Cricetidae
Source: Rfam